RNAcentral lists this ribosomal RNA (515 nucleotides) under uncultured bacterium. Its description in RNAcentral is "bacterial SSU rRNA". It matches the Rfam family "Bacterial small subunit ribosomal RNA", at positions 994 to 1509 of the family's 1533-position model. The record is from RNAcentral.
AACUUAGCAGAGAUGCUUUGGUGCCUUCGGGAACUCUGAGACAGGUGCUGCAUGGCUGUCGUCAGCUCGUGUUGUGAAAUGUUGGGUUAAGUCCCGCAACGAGCGCAACCCUUAUCCUUUGUUGCCAGCGGUCCGGCCGGGAACUCAAAGGAGACUGCCAGUGAUAAACUGGAGGAAGGUGGGGAUGACGUCAAGCCAUCAUGGCCCUUACGAGUAGGGCUACACACGUGCUACAAUGGCGCAUACAAAGAGAAGCGACCUCGCGAGAGCAAGCGGACCUCAUAAAGUGCGUCGUAGUCCGGAUUGGAGUCUGCAACUCGACUCCAUGAAGUCGGAAUCGCUAGUAAUCGUGGAUCAGAAUGCCACGGUGAAUACGUUCCCGGGCCUUGUACACACCGCCCGUCACACCAUGGGAGUGGGUUGCAAAAGAAGUAGGUAGCUUAACCUUCGGGAGGGCGCUUACCACUUUGUGAUUCAUGACUGGGGUGAAGUCGUAACAAGGUAAGCGUAGUGCU